RNAcentral lists this ribosomal RNA (502 nucleotides) under uncultured bacterium. RNAcentral describes it as "partial 16S ribosomal RNA". It matches the Rfam family "Bacterial small subunit ribosomal RNA", at positions 28 to 507 of the family's 1533-position model. The record is from RNAcentral.
GACGAACGCUGGCGGCGUGCCUAAUACAUGCAAGUCGAACGAACCGCGACUAGGUGCUUGCACUUGGUCAAGGUGAGUGGCGAACGGGUGAGUAACACGUGGGUAACCUACCUCAUAGUGGGGGAUAACAGUCGGAAACGACUGCUAAUACCGCAUAGGACAUAGGAUCACAUGAUCCAGUGAGGAAAGGUGGCGCAAGCUAUCGCUAAGAGAUGGAGCCGCGGUGCAUUAGCUAGUUGGUAGGGUAAAGGCCUACCAAGGCGAUGAUGCAUAGCCGACCUGAGGGGGUGAUCGGCCACAUUGGGACUGAGACACGGCCCAAACUCCUACGGGAGGCAGCAGUAGGGAAUCUUCCGCAAUGGACGCAAGUCUGACGGAGCAACGCCGCGUGAGUGAAGAAGGUCUUCGGAUCGUAAAGCUCUGUUGUUAGAGAAGAACAGCGCAUAGAGUAACUGUUAUGCGUGUGACGGUAUCUAACCAGAAAGCCACGGCUAACUACGUG